Patiria miniata (bat star) is the source of this 914-nucleotide long non-coding RNA. RefSeq lists it as uncharacterized. The transcript is spliced from 2 exons. NCBI's taxonomy places the organism in Eukaryota, Metazoa, Echinodermata, Asteroidea, Valvatida, Asterinidae. The record is from RefSeq and is a predicted model, not a curated record.
UAGUCUUUCCGUUUGUAUAAAAUAGCAAAGUAGCUUUUUAUAGAAUUUACUAUUUCAUUCUAUAUAUAUAAAGGAUGAACGUCAGGAAAAGGGAGAUGUUCUGCGACUGACUGUUCAACCCCAAUCAACAACUAAGUUUCAUGAGAAUUUCCCAGCUUGCUGAACUGUUGGAAUCAUGAAAAUGAUUUAGAAGCCGAAGGAACUGUCCUUGGAUCUUUAUACCGAACUGAUAAGUUGACAAAUCGGCUUAGAAGAGAAUAUCCACAGCUGUCUUUCCUUGAAUAUUAUGCGACAUCAUCUACACUGCUACUUUAUCUGCUGGAGGUGUGGUUGAAUCUCUGGGGACUUCAGAGGAGGAUUCAAAACUGAAACUUUGGCUUAGAAAGCAAGACAUACGCUCCAUCCUGUUGUUGAUGAGAAGUUUGAUGAAGUGAUAACAUUUAUUUGAAGUUGUAUCAGCACGACUAGUUAGCAUUUGAAAUUUGAAUGAAAAUAAUGAGUAACUUCUAGAUUUCAAAACUACAUGUAUCCUUCUGUUCAUUAGUGUUGGUUUUAUUUAUUUUAAUUUUUUUCAUUUAUUAAAAGUUAGUACCAGUAGAAAAGCAAAUUCUGUGAAUAUUAACAGUGAGACUAGCCACAUAUGACGAUCCAAAUCACUCUCUUUAAUGUGUAAGCAUACAAAAUAGCAUGAGGUAAUGUUUUGUUUUCAUUUUAUUGAUAUACAUGUAAACAUUUUUCGGUGCUAAUCAAUGUAUCAAUAAAUAAAUAGCUGAAAUUUUCUUUAACAAAAGACUGAUCUUAAGGCUUUUCUCUAAACCAAGAUGGCCAGGGCUGUUUUGAUCAGAUAGCAAAUACAUGUACAAUGGUUGAUUUCUGAAAUUAUUAAACCAGACUGACUUCUGAUGGUCCUUUGA